Long non-coding RNA from Phyllostomus discolor (pale spear-nosed bat), 1505 nucleotides. RefSeq lists it as uncharacterized. The transcript is spliced from 4 exons. NCBI's taxonomy places the organism in Eukaryota, Metazoa, Chordata, Mammalia, Chiroptera, Phyllostomidae. The record is from RefSeq and is a predicted model, not a curated record.
GACACUGAGCAGGGUAAAUUCUUUACAGCCUUGGAAACUGCCCAGAAACUUGUAGAUUAGAAGCCAUAGGUAUUAGGGAACCAUUAUGGAUUCUGAACUCAAAGAGUUGCGUGGUACUUAAGGAAGACUACUCUGGCAGAGCUCUGCAGGUCAAGGACCGUGAUUUCAUGCUACAUUGAAGGCACACAACGAAGGCAUGGGGCAGCAGCUGAACACAAACCACUGAGGGAACCAUUGUCUUUUUCUCCAGAAUAACCAAACAAGCCUGAAACUAUGAUGAAAAUGUAUGGUACCUCCUGGGCUGAUGUAGCACAUGCAGCUGCCCCAGAUCAGACAUUAAGAGUGGGUACUAACUUUCAGAUCCUGGGAUAAAUACCCACAUAGAAGAAAUAAUGUCUGUGCUGAUAUCAGACCCCGCUGGGGGGCAUCUUCUUGACUCCUUCACAAGAUCACAAGUUCGCAUAUGAGUGAGUGCCCAGCAGGUCAGAGAAACACUGGGACAGAGCAUGAGAGAUUCCUGAUGAAGUUGAGACACAAUAGUGCUACAGGUCACACCUGUGGGAAGGUAUAUUGUCAGGUCACCCCUGGCUGUUACAAAAAUAACUGGAGUUAAAAGGGGGCCAGGGGGAUGUGAUGUGGGGCAUGAGAUGUGUCCAGUACACCCUCAGCUUGAAAUACUACAGAUGCAGUCUUACACAAGUAGAAAGUAGGUGAGAAGGAAAGAGAAACAGGGAAGAGGUGUGGUGGAUUCCCGUCACUCCCUGAUCUUCACUUGAACUUCAGGGUGUUUGUCUCACCUCCUCUAUUUAAAGUGAUGAUUAGCAGCUGUCUGUCCACAACCUAACUUUCCUCUCUCCAUCAUGACCUCCUAUGGUUCAAGCUUGAUGACUCAGUUUCUUCCACAGGAGCCCUCCUUCCACGAUAUCAGGAUGUCUGGGUCAUUGCUGUCUCUACUCCCUAUGCACCCGUCAGCUUCCUCCUGCCCUCGUUUUUCUCCCAAAACUAGUAUAGAACUUAUCAUUCAUAAUUUUAGUCACUCUCUUAAGACAGUUCUAGAUUCUUGCUUCUUAGCACUUCUACACCAUUUAUCUGAUAAAACUCCAGCUCCGGUGAAAUCAAUGAAAUCAGCUUUCAGGUUUUUCCAUGGCCGUAUCCUGAGAUGCCCUACUGGGGAGCAAAAAAUACACGACAGAGCAGAUCACUGUGGCGGACUACCAACUCCAUACGCUAAUACAUAAUUUUUAAUAAUAGCACCCUGAUGUCUGGUUGGGCACAUUGCUGCCAGGAAUAAAAGACUGUGUUUCUUAGUGGCCUUUGUGUGCAUGUGUGCUCACAUGACUUCAUCCCAGCAAAUGAGGAAGAAUGUCUGGUGGUUGGUGCAGGAAAGCUUCAAGACAGUUGAUUCAGCAGAAGAGCUCCCCUUCUUGCCUUCUGUUGCGGUUGCUGCAGCCAUCAUGAACCAUGAGGUGACCUUGAGGAUGGACGCUGCAAGCCAAGAUGCACAA